RNAcentral lists this signal recognition particle RNA (149 nucleotides) under Nomascus leucogenys (northern white-cheeked gibbon). RNAcentral describes it as "Metazoan signal recognition particle RNA". It matches the Rfam family "Metazoan signal recognition particle RNA". Rfam says of the family: The signal recognition particle (SRP) is a universally conserved ribonucleoprotein. Lineage: Eukaryota; Metazoa; Chordata; Mammalia; Primates; Hylobatidae. The record is from Rfam by way of RNAcentral.
GCCUGGCAUGGUGGCUCAUGCCAGUAAUCCGAGCUACCUGGGAGGCUGAGAUUGGGAGGAUCUCUUGAGCCCAGGAGUUUGAGGCUGCAGUGAGCUAUGAUGACACCACUGCACUCCAGCCUGGGCAACAGAGUGAGACCCCAUCUCUA